This 407-nucleotide ribosomal RNA is filed under the name uncultured bacterium. Its description in RNAcentral is "partial 16S ribosomal RNA". It matches the Rfam family "Bacterial small subunit ribosomal RNA", at positions 28 to 526 of the family's 1533-position model. The record is from RNAcentral.
GACGAACGCUGGCGGCGUGCCUAAUACAUGCAAGUAGGACGCAGUUGCGAACGGAUGAGUAACUCGUCGGUAACUACCAGUUAGAGGGGGAUAACUAACGGAAACUAUAGCUAAUACCGCAUACUAGUAGAUGGACCUGGGUUGUAUUAGAUUGUAGGUAGGGUAAUGGCCUACCUAGGCAACGAUACAUAGCCGACCUGAGAGGUUGAGCGGCCACAUUGGGACUGAGAAACGGCCCAGACUCCUACGGGAGGCAGCAGUAGGGAAUCUUCCGCAAUGGGGGGAACGCUGACCGAGCAACGCCGCGUGAGUGAAGAAGGUUUUCGGAUCGUAAAGCUCUGUUGUUAAGGAAGCGGUACUUAACCAGAAAGGGACGGCUAACUACGUGCCAGCAGCCGCGGUAAUAC